Molecule: transfer-messenger RNA, 312 nt
Filed under: chicken gut metagenome
Rfam family: transfer-messenger RNA
About the family: Bacterial tmRNA, also known as 10Sa RNA or SsrA, is named for its dual tRNA and mRNA-like properties.
Source: RNAcentral
GGUAAGCAUGCCGAAGGCUCGGCUUCGUAAAAACGGAAAUCUUAAAUUUAAAUGCAGACAAUCAUCGUCUCGCUUACGCUGCUUAAUUAGCGUAUGUCUUCCGUGCGGUCCCUGUCGCCGCGCGGCGGGCAUCAUUUCAGACAGGGAACGGCGCGUAAAAGUCGGCUGCGGUCUGCGCGCUGUAUUCAGCGGCCCACGUCCCGCCGGGUUUGUUCGCCGAAACGGCGGGAAAGGGAUGAAAGACGGACUAAGCAUGUAGAAAGCCCGCUCAAAGCCGUCAAGACUCGGGUGCAAGUCCCGACUGGUCCACCA